UCCAAUGUCCCAAAUUCCGUCUCGUAUUUUAAACCUUCCAAACACCCCUAACCCUACUCAUUUGCAUCUCACCCGGCCGCCCUUCUUUCCCCAUUCUCUCUCAUUUUUUUCAUCCCCAUCAACCCCAUCAAUCCGAAAACCUUGCACAAAUUUGUGCAAGUUCAUCCCAAUCGAACCCUGAAACAUCUAUCUUGUCCCUGAUAGCUGCAAAUCACAUCGGCUUCCAUUCCUUUUUCUUCGAUUUAAUUCGAAUUUCGAAUCUCAAAUUCGUAAACCUAAAAUGCACAAAUGGGUAUACUAUCAAUCCUUGCUCUGUUCUGUCAAAUCAGUGCAUGAAUGAACAUAAUCUGUAGAUUCUUCAUCAUUAUUCGAUGUUCAGAGGUCAAACACAGUGACCUCCAUAUAUUAGAUUUUGACCAGCAAUCCAACGGCUUCAACGGCCAUCUCCUCGUACCUAGUUUGAGUUCAUCUCCUAUACUUAUGUUGAGUUUGGAUUCCUAAAAGGCUGUCAAACACUCCCUUACAUGGUUCGCUACCCUACAGAAGACCAAUUCGGAGCAUUUGGAGGCCGAGUCCAGAGCCAAGAGCAUGGCGGGGUAGAGAUUUAACCAGUUUGAGGUGUAACUGGACACGGUAGCGGUUGUUGAUUAUUUUGGUUGC
Nicotiana tabacum (common tobacco) is the source of this 660-nucleotide long non-coding RNA. RefSeq lists it as uncharacterized. NCBI's taxonomy places the organism in Eukaryota, Viridiplantae, Streptophyta, Magnoliopsida, Solanales, Solanaceae. The record is from RefSeq and is a predicted model, not a curated record.